Molecule: ribosomal RNA, 253 nt
Filed under: uncultured bacterium
Lineage: Bacteria
Description: partial 16S ribosomal RNA
Rfam family: Bacterial small subunit ribosomal RNA
Source: RNAcentral
GACGUAGGGGGCUAGCGUUGUUCGGAAUCACUGGGCGUAAAGGGCGCGUAGGCGGCCAUAUAAGUCGGGGGUGAAAGCCUGUGGCUCAACCACAGAAUUGCCUUCGAUACUGUAUGGCUCGAGACCGGAAGAGGUAAGUGGAACUGCGAGUGUAGAGGUGAAAUUCGUAGAUAUUCGCAAGAACACCAGUGGCGAAGGCGGCUUACUGGCCCGAUACUGACGCUGAGGUGCGAAAGCGUGGGGAGCAAACAGG